Molecule: long non-coding RNA, 639 nt
Filed under: Equus asinus (donkey)
Lineage: Eukaryota; Metazoa; Chordata; Mammalia; Perissodactyla; Equidae
Description: lncRNA (ENSEASG00005038553.1)
Source: RNAcentral
GGAAGUUGCACGCCAAAUGCAAAACCUCCGGCGAGCUGGAUUUCUUUGCACUUUAUUAUUUUUUUUUUUUAACUGAAAGCAGGGGUUGGCAGGCCCAAAAGCAAGUUGCAGGCGAAAUAGCAUUCUAGAAGAAUUCAAUUAGAGCAGGAGUCAUGGAUGGCUCUGCAGAACAGGCUACUACCUGAAGAUCUCUCGUGUCUUGCUUACAGACCCAGUUUUGCUGAAUCCACCUUAUGUUAACUGUGCUAUAAAUUCCAGAGGAGUGGUUUACAUAUGAGCUGGGAAGACUCACCUGCGUGGAUCAUUUAGGGACACCACAUUGCCUUGGAUGACCAACCUCCACCCUAUGAGGGUACCUGAAGCAGCAUAGUGGUUAAGAAUAUGACCUCUGGGGCCAGAACGCCUGGAUUUGAACCUGACUCUGCCACUUGUUGCCUAUGUGACCCUCAUAAGCCUUGUACCCUCUGUGCCCCCGAUUCCUUAUCUGUAAAAUGAGGGAAGACAAUAGUACCUGCCUCACAGGACUGUUGGGAGGCUUAACUGAGUUCUUACAUAUAAAGCACUUAGAACAUAGCCUGGCACAUAACAAGCAAUAAAUGAAUAUUAGUUGUUUCUCUUACUGUUCGUUCUUAUUUUUCA